Molecule: long non-coding RNA, 202 nt
Filed under: Capsicum annuum
Lineage: Eukaryota; Viridiplantae; Streptophyta; Magnoliopsida; Solanales; Solanaceae
Description: long non-coding RNA (CANN_LNC017152)
Source: RNAcentral
GAAAUUUAAUAGUGACCCAUAUCUCAUUUACCUUCAUCGAGUUCUUUAGAAAAAAUUGUCUCCUCUCCACCAUAUAUACUUUGACAUGGUCCACGACUUGCUCAUUUAUUGAAAGGAGCACUACAUUAAGGAUAACGAUGUGCCAUGGUUUUAUGGCACUUCGAAUGCUUGAAAUUGGAAAUUAUGAAAGUAUUUAGGCCCC